GACGAACGCUGGCGGCGUGCUUAACACAUGCAAGUCGAACGGAAAGGCCCUGCUUUUGUGGGGUGCUCGAGUGGCGAACGGGUGAGUAACACGUGAGUAACCUUCCCUUGACUUUGGGAUAACUUCAGGAAACUGGGGCUAAUACCGGAUAGGAGCUCCUGCUGCAUGGUGGGGGUUGGAAAGUUUCGGCGGUUGGGGAUGGACUCGCGGCUUAUCAGCUUGUUGGUGGGGUAGUGGCUUACCAAGGCUUUGACGGGUAGCCGGCCUGGGAGGGUGACCGGCCACAUUGGGACUGCGAUACGGCCCAGACUCCAACGGGAGGCAGCAGUGGGGAAUAUUGCACAAUGGGCGGAAGCCUGAUGCAGCAACGCCGCGUGCGGGAUGACGGCCUUCGGGUUGUAAACCGCUUUCGCCUGUGACGAAGCGUGAGUGACGGUAAUGGGUAAAGAAGCACCGGCUAACUACGUG
RNAcentral lists this ribosomal RNA (468 nucleotides) under uncultured bacterium. RNAcentral describes it as "partial 16S ribosomal RNA". It matches the Rfam family "Bacterial small subunit ribosomal RNA", at positions 28 to 507 of the family's 1533-position model. The record is from RNAcentral.